RNAcentral lists this ribosomal RNA (431 nucleotides) under uncultured bacterium. RNAcentral's name for it is "bacterial SSU rRNA". It matches the Rfam family "Bacterial small subunit ribosomal RNA", at positions 354 to 796 of the family's 1533-position model. The record is from RNAcentral.
GUGGGGAAUAUUGCACAAUGGGCGAAAGCCUGAUGCAGCGACGCCGCGUGAGGGAUGAAGGCCUUCGGGUCGUAAACCUCUUUCGGCAGGGACGAAGCGAUCAGUGACGGUACCUGCAGAAGAAGCCCCGGCUAACUACGUGCCAGCAGCCGCGGUAAGACGUAGGGGGCGAGCGUUGUCCGGAUUUAUUGGGCGUAAAGCGUGCGUAGGCGGCUGCGCAAGUCGGGUGUGAAACCCCGGGGCUCAACCCCGGAACUGCAUCCGAUACUGCGUGGCUAGAGGUAGGUAGGGGAGAUCGGAAUUCCUGGUGUAGCGGUGAAAUGCGCAGAUAUCAGGAGGAACACCGGUGGCGAAGGCGGAUCUCUGGGCCUUACCUGACGCUCAGGCACGAAAGCUAGGGGAGCGAACAGGAUUAGAAACCCGGGUAGUCC